CCCACCCCUAACCUCCCACCUCCCGACCCUACCCUACACCAAAUACCAGGCACCACUCAGGAAACUUCUCUUUCCGUUCUCUAACUUCCCCAAGACCCUGUCAGGCAUGGAACUCUCUGUAUCCUCUGUGGACACCCACCUACCUGUGGCAGGGCCUAGGAACACACAGGACUCGGCUCUCUCAAGAGAUUCCAAGUGGACCGAGGACAGGAAGCCUUCCUCAAUGAGCACUGAAAGUCUCCAGAGGCUCUCCUCCACACUGCUGACAUCUUCCAUGAUGAAGCCUAGAAGAAAAUCACUCUCCCUGCCAUCUGGAGACAAGCCUGUCUAUGCUCCUCCAAAUCUCCAUCUCUACAAAGCUUCCUGGAGACUUUUGCUGUGGUUAAAAAGAGAGCUUCCUGGUGAUGGGGGUGGGUGUGGAGGACCUGACUUCAUGGACCUGCCUGUCAGGCCACUUUAAAGGACUGUACUGCCACCUUCCCAAUGGUUCCUACACAAUGCUCUUACCAACCACGCUCUGGCAUGCCCCUGAGCCCUAAUCCACACAGAGGAAGCACCACUCCAAACCUUGUACUCACCUGAGAUGGAUCUGAAGGAUGGAGCCCUAAAAGGCUUCCCUAUAUGCAAACCUGUCCUUCCUCUACAUCCCAGAGCUGACGACCAUAACUCGUACAUACUGUGCCUCUCAGGCACUGCUAUGACUUCUCACAGUACUGGGCCACAAUAAUCCCAGGUAUACACACACACACACACACACACACACAAAAAAAAAAAAAAGCACAUAUUUGCAGUAUGGUUAGGAGGACAUUAUUAAGACAAUUCCCAACAAUACUACCAUCUUCAUGGAAAUGGACAAUAAAUGACACAACUGUAUGUAUUUGUCACAACAGGAAACUAGUUUCCUCACCAUCAGAACAUAUUCUUCCCUCCAAAUCAGUUAAAAAUCAUCUCCAGCUAAAAAAUUCAUUGAUUUACUACCUA
This is a long non-coding RNA of Peromyscus eremicus (cactus mouse), 981 nucleotides long. RefSeq lists it as uncharacterized. Lineage: Eukaryota; Metazoa; Chordata; Mammalia; Rodentia; Cricetidae. The transcript is spliced from 2 exons. The record is from RefSeq and is a predicted model, not a curated record.